UAUGAAAGGCCACAUGAGAGCCAAACUGUCUCUUGUAAUCCAUCAAUUAAACUGAUCUCCUAGUACAAAAGCUAGGAUAACAAUAUAAGACCAGAAGACCCUGUGAAGCUUUAACUAACCUAUUAAACCCACUAAUAGCUACUUUCGGUUGGGGCGACCUUGGAACAAAACAAAACUUCCAAAUACUAUGAAUAUUACCUCAUACACCUCAGGCCAACAAGCCACAAUAUGACCCAGUACAACUGAUAAUUGAACCAAGUUACUCCAGGGAUAACAGCGCCAUCUUCUUCAAGAGCCCAUAUCAAAAAGAAGGUUUACGACCUCGAUGUUGGAUCAGGACACCCAAAUGGUGCAGCCGCUAUUAAAGGUUCGUUUGUUCAACGAUUAACAGUCCU
Molecule: ribosomal RNA, 395 nt
Filed under: Sanzinia volontany
Lineage: Eukaryota; Metazoa; Chordata; Lepidosauria; Squamata; Sanziniidae
Description: partial 16S ribosomal RNA
Rfam family: Bacterial large subunit ribosomal RNA
Source: RNAcentral